This 253-nucleotide ribosomal RNA is filed under the name uncultured bacterium. Its description in RNAcentral is "partial 16S ribosomal RNA". It matches the Rfam family "Bacterial small subunit ribosomal RNA", at positions 524 to 776 of the family's 1533-position model. The record is from RNAcentral.
UACGUAGGGUGCAAGCGUUAAUCGGAAUUACUGGGCGUAAAGCGUGCGCAGACGGUUGCGUAAGUCAGAUGUGAAAGCCCCGGGCUCAACCUGGGAAUUGCAUUUGAGACUGCGUAGCUAGGGUGCGGAAGAGGGAAGCGGAAUUUCCGGUGUAGCGGUGAAAUGCGUAGAUAUCGGAAGGAACACCAGUGGCGAAAGCGGCUUCCUGGUCCAGCACCGACGUUCAGGCACGAAAGCGUGGGGAGCGAACAGG